RNAcentral lists this small RNA (29 nucleotides) under Bombyx mori (domestic silkworm). RNAcentral describes it as "ovarian small RNA-12407". The record is from RNAcentral. Lineage: Eukaryota; Metazoa; Arthropoda; Insecta; Lepidoptera; Bombycidae.
AUCAAUGGUAUUAUGUGAGCUGUCAUCAC